This is a long non-coding RNA of Ostrea edulis (European flat oyster), 221 nucleotides long. RefSeq lists it as uncharacterized. NCBI's taxonomy places the organism in Eukaryota, Metazoa, Mollusca, Bivalvia, Ostreida, Ostreidae. The transcript is spliced from 2 exons. The record is from RefSeq and is a predicted model, not a curated record.
CGGAGAGGACGGUUCUCUGUGUGAGUAUGGUACCCAGGUAGAGACGGUUAUUCUACACAGGUAAAAAAUCCACAGGUGUGUUGAUGAGAAACGGAUUGUACCUUGAAGAGGAGGGGGACGCGAAAAGUUGAAAUAUGAUCUCCGACAGUUUAUUCGUGACAGGUAUGUUUCAUUUAAUAUCGCCACACUUUAAAUAUGACACUGGGUCUCAAGUUCUUGUG